GACGAACGCUGGCGGCGUGCUUAACACAUGCAAGUCGAACGGAAAGGCCCUGCUUUUGUGGGGUGCUCGAGAGGCGAACGGGUGAGUAAAACGUGAGUAACCUGCCCUUGACUUUGGGAUAACUUCAGGAAACUGGGGCUAAUACCGGAUAGGAGCUCCUGCUGCAUGGGGGGGGUUGGAAAGAUUCGGCGGUUGGGGAUGGACUCGCGGCUUAUCAGCUUGUUGGGGGGGUAGUGGCGUACCAAGGGUUUGACGGGUAGCCGGCCUGGGAGGGUGACCGGCCACAUUGGGCCUGAGAUACGGACCAGACUCCUACGGGACGCAGCAGUGGGGAAUAUUGCACAAUGGGCGGAAGCCUGAUGCAGCAGUGCCGCGUGCGGGAUGAUGGCCUUCGGGUUGUAAACCGCUUUCGCCGGCGCCGAACCGUGAGUGACGGUAAUGGGUAAAGAAGCACCGGCUAACUACGUG
This 468-nucleotide ribosomal RNA is filed under the name uncultured bacterium. RNAcentral describes it as "partial 16S ribosomal RNA". It matches the Rfam family "Bacterial small subunit ribosomal RNA", at positions 28 to 507 of the family's 1533-position model. The record is from RNAcentral.